This 438-nucleotide long non-coding RNA is filed under the name Solanum tuberosum (potato). RNAcentral describes it as "long non-coding RNA (STUB_LNC009448)". Lineage: Eukaryota; Viridiplantae; Streptophyta; Magnoliopsida; Solanales; Solanaceae. The record is from RNAcentral.
UUCACCUCUUCUUGCAAGUUCUUCAUUAUGCACGAGACCUCGAAGACCAUAGCACAAUCUCCAUCCUUUUUCACUCAUUGAUCGAUAGGUUCCUCCAAAAAGUAUGGAGAAACAACUUCCAUUGUAUAAACCAAGAUUGUUUGCAGAAUCACAAAGUGUCAUGCUUCAAGUUUGUUCACCUCUUCUUGCAAGUUCUUCAUUAUGCACGAGACCUCGAAGACCAUAGCACAAUCUCCAUCCUUUUUCACUCAUUGAUCAAUAGGUUCCUCCAAAAAGUAUGGAGAAACAAGACUUUCAUUGUAUAAACCAAGAUUGUUUGCAGCAUCACAACGUGUCAUGCUUCAAGUUUGUUCACCUCUUCUUGCAAGUUCUUCAUUAUGCACGAGAGCUCGAAGACCAUAGCACAGUCUUCAUCCUUUUUCACUCAUUGAUCGAUAG